RNAcentral lists this ribosomal RNA (619 nucleotides) under Cuscuta pacifica var. pacifica. Its description in RNAcentral is "eukaryotic LSU rRNA". The stretch from base 226 to 381 matches the Rfam family "5.8S ribosomal RNA". Lineage: Eukaryota; Viridiplantae; Streptophyta; Magnoliopsida; Solanales; Convolvulaceae. The record is from RNAcentral.
UUUCCGUAGGUGAACCUGCGGAAGGAUCAUUGUCGAAGCCUCGCUCUAGAAUGACUCGAUAACCUGUACCAGUUCAUGAUUCGAGUUUCGUGGCGAUUUUUCGAUUUGCCCAUGACUAACAACAAAGCACCGGCGCGGUAGUGCCAAGGAAUUUCGUGAUGAGUAUGCCACCGUGUAGAGCUCCUACUCUACUGCUUGUGAGGUUGGCUUCCUUUAAUAAAAAAUGACUCUCGGCAAUGGAUAUCUCGGCUCCUGCAUCGAUGAAGAACGUAGCGAAAUGCGAUACUUGGUGUGAAUUGCAGAAUCCCGUGAACCAUCGAAACUUUGAACGCAAGUUGCGCCUCAAGCCAUUAGGUUGAGGGCACGUUUGCUUGGGUGUCAUGCGUUACGUCUCCCCUCUCGUGCGUGGAGUGGGAAUGGAUUGUGGCCUCCCGGGCCCUUCAUUGGGGGCGUGGUUGGCCGAAAAUGAUGUCCUUGACUUUGUUGAUGCUUUGGCGUGUGGUGGAUGUACCAAGUGUGCAUAAUUGCCUGCCUUGCUCGACUUCUUGUGGCGUUGGGAUCCUAUGAGGCUGUCGGUGUCGGCCCUUUGAUUGCGGCCCCAAGUCAGGCGAGACUACCC